Molecule: ribosomal RNA, 255 nt
Filed under: uncultured bacterium
Lineage: Bacteria
Description: partial 16S ribosomal RNA
Rfam family: Bacterial small subunit ribosomal RNA
Source: RNAcentral
UACGAAGGGGGCUAGCGUUGUUCGGAAUUACUGGGCGUAAAGCGCACGUAGGCGGAUUGUUAAGUCGGGGGUGAAAUCCUGGAGCUCAACUCCAGAACUGCCUUCGAUACUGGCGAUCUCGAGUUCGGGAGAGGUGAGUGGAACUGCGGAGUGUAGAGGUGAAAUUCGUAGAUAAUUCGCAAGAACACCAGUGGCGAAGGCGGCUUACUGGUCCGGUUCUGACGCUGAGGCGCGAAAGCGUGGGGAGCAAACAGG